RNAcentral lists this ribosomal RNA (460 nucleotides) under uncultured bacterium. RNAcentral describes it as "SSU rRNA". It matches the Rfam family "Bacterial small subunit ribosomal RNA", at positions 26 to 518 of the family's 1533-position model. The record is from RNAcentral.
AGAACGAACGCUGGCGGCAGGCUUAACACAUGCAAGUCGAACGCUCCUAGCAAUAGGGGAGUGGCAGACGGGUGAGUAACGCGUGGGAACAUACCCUCCGGUUCGGAAUAACUCAGGGAAACUUGAGCUAAUACCGGAUACGGCCUUUAGUCGAAGGAUUGGCGGCGAAAGAUUUAUCGCCGGAGGAUUGGCCCGCGUCCGAUUAGCUAGUUGGUGUGGUAAUGGCGCACCAAGGCGACGAUCGGUAGCUGGUCUGAGAGGAUGAUCAGCCACAUUGGGACUGAGACACGGCCCAAACUCCUACGGGAGGCAGCAGUGGGGAAUAUUGGACAAUGGGCGCAAGCCUGAUCCAGCCAUGCCGCGUGAGUGAUGACGGCCUUAGGGUUGUAAAGCUCUUUCGCUCGGGACGAUAAUGACGGUACCGAGAUAAGAGCCCGGCUAACUUCGCGCCAGCAGCCGC